RNAcentral lists this non-coding RNA (45 nucleotides) under Schistosoma mattheei. The record is from RNAcentral. Lineage: Eukaryota; Metazoa; Platyhelminthes; Trematoda; Strigeidida; Schistosomatidae.
AUCCGGAUGGCGAGUCUCAAAUAGGACGAAACGCGCGUCCUGGAU